RNAcentral lists this ribosomal RNA (253 nucleotides) under uncultured bacterium. RNAcentral describes it as "partial 16S ribosomal RNA". It matches the Rfam family "Bacterial small subunit ribosomal RNA", at positions 524 to 776 of the family's 1533-position model. The record is from RNAcentral.
UACGAAGGGGGCUAGCGUUGCUCCGAAUCACUGGGCGUAAAGGGUGCGUAGGCGGGUCUUUAAGUCAGGGGGGAAAUCCUGGAGCUCAACUCCAGAACUGCCUUUGAUACUGAGGAUCUUGAGUUCGGGAGAGGUGAGUGGAACUGCGAGUGUAGAGGUGAAAUUCGUAGAUAUUCGCAAGAACACCAGUGGCGAAGGCGGCUCACUGGCCCGAUACUGACGCUGAGGCACGAAAGCGUGGGGAGCAAACAGG